RNAcentral lists this ribosomal RNA (254 nucleotides) under uncultured Rhodococcus sp. RNAcentral's name for it is "partial 16S ribosomal RNA". It matches the Rfam family "Bacterial small subunit ribosomal RNA", at positions 1129 to 1382 of the family's 1533-position model. Lineage: Bacteria; Bacillati; Actinomycetota; Actinomycetes; Mycobacteriales; Nocardiaceae. The record is from RNAcentral.
UGGUGGGGACUCGUAAGAGACUGCCGGGGUCAACUCGGAGGAAGGUGGGGACGACGUCAAGUCAUCAUGCCCCUUAUGUCCAGGGCUUCACACAUGCUACAAUGGCCAGUACAGAGGGCUGCGAGACCGUGAGGUGGAGCGAAUCCCUUAAAGCUGGUCUCAGUUCGGAUCGGGGUCUGCAACUCGACCCCGUGAAGUCGGAGUCGCUAGUAAUCGUGGAUCAGCAUGCCACGGUGAAUACGUUCCCGGGCCUU